GUUUGUAGUUCUUCGACCCUAAUGAUCUACGGAAAGGAGGUAUAAACAAAGAAUAUAACAAUGUUAUGUUGUUGGGAGUUUGACAUUUCAACAUCACCAACAUCCCAAGCAAUCCCACCAUGUGACCCAGAUAGUCAAGAUGAUGAGCUGGAUAGUGUACUUCCACCAACAGAAUUACAUCAGCCAACUGAUUGUAUAACUAUUUAUAUUGCCAAUAAACCCUGUUUGCCCUGACAGACAUUCAUACACACCGAAUGAUGGAAGAAGCGCC
Non-coding RNA from Paramuricea clavata, 271 nucleotides. Lineage: Eukaryota; Metazoa; Cnidaria; Anthozoa; Malacalcyonacea; Plexauridae. The record is from the annotation of a GenBank genome assembly.